GCAGCUCUUGUGGAAUUAGCUGGUUCUCACUACUCCUAAACAAAUGAAUGGCAAGGUCGGGGAGCUAAAGCAGGGCUCCCUCUUAUUUCUAUGAGUUUAACUUGACAUAAAAAAACCAGUAGUCUUCCUUCAAACUUAUUGCACAGGAAUCAACAUACAGAACGAGGAUGAGAGACAAAGCAUUUAUGAAUUAGAAAUACGGGAAGAAUCAGAAACUAUUUCCAUGAUUCAGAAGGCUUUCACGAAAAACGCAAUGAGUGCAGCGCAAAUAAAAAUGUGGCACAAACGCUUCAAAAUGGUUGAGAAUCUGUUGAAAGUGAUCCCUGUUCUGAAAGGCCUGGAACAAGCGGAGCACCCGAGAAUGUUGAACAUGCAUCGUCUGCAGUCAACAAAGACCUGAGAACUGUGUGAGGUCCCAAGGUGCCAGCUAUGAAGGGGACUGAGGUGUCAUUGUCCUAUGUACAAUGUUUCUUGUAUCUUGUAUCUUCUUCAGUAAAUGUCUCUAUUUUUCAUAGUA
Long non-coding RNA from Artibeus jamaicensis (Jamaican fruit-eating bat), 517 nucleotides. RefSeq lists it as uncharacterized. The transcript has 2 exons. Lineage: Eukaryota; Metazoa; Chordata; Mammalia; Chiroptera; Phyllostomidae. The record is from RefSeq and is a predicted model, not a curated record.